Molecule: ribosomal RNA, 253 nt
Filed under: uncultured bacterium
Lineage: Bacteria
Description: partial 16S ribosomal RNA
Rfam family: Bacterial small subunit ribosomal RNA
Source: RNAcentral
GACAGAGGAUGCAAGCGUUAUCCGGAAUGAUUGGGCGUAAAGCGUCUGUAGGUGGCUUUUUAAGUCUGCCGUCAAAUCCCAGGGCUUAACCCUGGACAGGCGGUGGAAACUACCAAGCUGGAGUACGGUAGGGGCAGGGGGAAUUUCCGGUGGAGCGGUGAAAUGCGUAGAGAUCGGAAAGAACACCAACGGCGAAAGCACUCUGCAGGGCCGACACUGACACUGAGAGACGAAAGCUAGGGGAGCGAAUGGG